RNAcentral lists this ribosomal RNA (460 nucleotides) under uncultured bacterium. RNAcentral's name for it is "partial 16S ribosomal RNA". It matches the Rfam family "Bacterial small subunit ribosomal RNA", at positions 338 to 795 of the family's 1533-position model. The record is from RNAcentral.
CCUACGGGUGGCAGCAGUGAGGAAUAUUGGUCAAUAGACGAGAGUCUGAACCAGCCAAGUAGCGUGAAGGAUGACUGCCCUAUGGGUUGUAAACUUCUUUUAUAUGGGAAUAAAAUGUUCCACGUGUGGGAUUUUGUAUGUACCAUAUGAAUAAGGAUCGGCUAACUCCGUGCCAGCAGCCGCGGUAAUACGGAGGAUCCGAGCGUUAUCCGGAUUUAUUGGGUUUAAAGGGAGCGUAGGUGGAUUGUUAAGUCAGUUGUGAAAGUUUGCGGCUCAACCGUAAAAUUGCAGUUGAAACUGGCAGUCUUGAGUACAGUAGAGGUGGGCGGAAUUCGUGGUGUAGCGGUGAAAUGCUUAGAUAUCACGAAGAACUCCGAUUGCGAAGGCAGUUCACUGGACUGCAACUGACACUGAGGCUCGAAAGUGUGGGUAUCAAACAGGAUUAGAUACCCUAGUAGUC